Molecule: ribosomal RNA, 242 nt
Filed under: uncultured bacterium
Lineage: Bacteria
Description: partial 16S ribosomal RNA
Rfam family: Bacterial small subunit ribosomal RNA
Source: RNAcentral
CACGCUGUAAACGAUGAAAACUAAGUAUUGCCGCGAGGCAGUGCUGUAGCUAACGCAUUAAGUUUUCCGCCUGGGGAGUACGCUCGCAAGAGUGAAACUUAAAGGAAUUGACGGGGGCCCGCACAAGCAGUGGAGCAUGUGGUUUAAUUCGACGCUACGCGAAGAACCUUACCAGGACUUGACAUCCUACUAACGAGGUAGAGAUACGUCAGGUGCCCUUCGGGGAAAGUAGAGACAGGUGG